AAAAAUAGGACCAAGCAGCUUUAAAUGUUCAUAUUGCCAAGAAAUUCUGAUUCCAUACAUGCAUGGUUAAUACACUCUUGCAUUAGACAUGCCAUAUGUGGGUUCUUUUGUACCAACUUUGAACAUCAACUUCCUGUUAAAUGAUGACUUUGUUGUGUAUAUUCACAUCAGAGCGGGAGUAUUACUAAUAAGCAUCGGCUCACAGAUAUCUUGUUUGAGGUCUGCCUUUGUUGUAGAAGUUUGUUUGCAAAAUGUUAUCUUUGACCUACGUGUAUGGGACUUGCAGAACUUUUUCAGAUGUGGCGUUCUGAAGGUUGCUGCUCCAAAACUUAAGGUCUUUCCUAUGAGCAAGUGCUGUUGCAUCCAUGAUGACAUUGACUGGAGAUGACCCACACUGACCACAUUGAAACCCUUUUUCAAAAUCGAUUGUGGAACACAACAACUCCAGAAAUCCAUACCAAGCAAACUUAAAAUGUGCAUAUGAAAAGGUCUUUUGGAAUCGAAGGUCAUUUGAUCUCUCGUGGCUGUCUCUCAGGGACAAAAAGUUAAUCACCUAUUUCUUGUAAACAAGUCCAUGAACUCGAACAGAACUUCAUACGCAAUGAGAGCAUGGCUUGUGUGAAAGACGCAGUGCUCUUGUCCAUCAUACUUCAAGAGUGCAUCACAGGUGUUGUUGCUGCAUUUUCUUUCAGCCACUGAAAUGAAGGGAAGAGACUUUGAAUUCAAAAGUUCAUUUGACCACAUGCUGCCACACUGCCCGCAAACACCGUCUCUUGGUUCAGCAAGAAGACCUUCUGGAAUUCUAUCAAGAAGAGGUCUGGAAUAUUGCUGCUUCAGGUCCACAUCGAGAUCAAAAGGAAUGCCUUUACUGGAAAAAACUUUAACCCAAGGACAUGAUGAUAUUUUUUUGGAGGCAUUCUCUGGCAAGUCAAUGUUCAAGGUCUUUGCAUUUUCAACUAAAAAUGACGUAUGUUCACAUUGAGGUGAUUUGCAUGUAAUGCAUAACAUUUUUUCUUUAUAUGUUACAAUCCCACAUGAUCCGUGGCUUGUGACACAAAGGUAAUCGCCAUCCCAUGACAACUCCUGUAUUCUGUUAUCGUCAUUCUACAAUAAAGGGUUUUCACGGGAGUCGUAUCUUUCCAUCAGGAAAGCAAUCGCAUCAAUGUGAAGGCAUCUCGGAUACUUCUGCAGGAAAGCUAUUAUGGCAGAGAGAAGAGAAAGUACAGAAAAAAAUUAUACGACCGUGAUUCUGGAUACCCCAGGAAUAGUGACUAACGAUAUCUAUGGCAAGCCAAAGUUUUGAUCAUUGUUAUACAGAAUGUACCUUCAUAUGAUAUAUCAACAGAGUCCGAGAGUCCAUUGAUUAGUGAUGCCCUAGUGGUGUUGCACUCGCAUGCGAAGCACCAGUGAAAUGCACUUUCUAUGAAGCAGAGGCUCUUUCUGCGAACAAACAGAAAUGUGUUUGCCUGAAAGAAAAAAAAACAAAGUACCUAUAUAUGAAAGGAGCUGUGUGUUUAUAAUGCUUACUCUGGUGAUUUGUCAUGUAUAAAUUCAGUCUGUUUCAUUUGAUUAUGCUUAUAUUUUGUUCACCUUAAGAGUAUAUUAAGGCUUGUCAUGCUAAAUGAAGGUUAAGUAUGUGUUAACUGUUUAGGUAUAAUGUGUACUUUCUGCAGCUUGAUACUUUUGUGGCAUAAAUCUUUAAAGGUAACAAAAAUAUUAUUCUUCUUUACCAAUUUUUGCGAUUACAUUAGACAAAUCUGAACAUAGAACUAUUAUCCCAAUACACUGUAUCAAAUGUGGACUCGUUUAUGCGUUUCUCAGUACUUCGCUCUGGUAUUACAACCAAUACAGUGUUUGAUUAGGGUGUUUAUUUUUCAUUAUGUAAACAGCCAUCUGUUGAUUCCAGAAUCUUAUGUAAUUUUAAUUUCUGUUGAUUUUUCAUACCUGAAUAUACUAUCACAGAGAAUACAUGCUCUACAGCAUUCAUAUUUUGAUAUACCUCAAGCUGCCUGGCAUUCAUAUCAUAGUCUCUCAGUACAAAGUGGUUGAAAAAAUCUCCAAUAGGAGUAAACCCUUUGUACAGCAACAGAAGUUCCAUGUAGCAUUGAAGGUCUGUGGAAAAACUCUGUAAAGAAGUUAAUAAUUCUUUAGAACGUUGAAUAAAUUCAAGUGAUGUGUAACAUCUACUUCUUUCAAACUAAUGAAAAUAUUUUUUUUUUCGUUUUUUUUGCUACCUAAUUGCUUAGAUUUGUUUAAGAUUGUGCUUCGUAGAACUAACACCCUUAGUUGAACCCUAUUGAUAUUACAAGACUAAAGGUCAAAGAUUCACAGCUAAAUUUUUGCCAUCAGAAAGAUAUUUUUUUCAUCAUUUGUGUAAUUUGUUUCCUAUUAAACAAAACUGGUAACAAUUAAGGUAUCUCACUUCGCCUAGACUUGCACUAGUACAUCACAAGGCGGUAAUUGAAAUGUUUUGUUAAAUUGUUUGUAUUGAUCAUUUUUGUUGAAUAUCGUCAUAGCUCAGCUGGCUUGUUAACAGCAGAUAAUGAGUUCAAAUCCAGGGAUUUUUGUUCACAUUUACUGAGAUUACAUGUUUGAAAAUACAAACUUUUAUGCAGAAUUGCAUAUUUAACAAGUAUCAAGUAGUUUUUGGCUGCAUGAGUUUAGAAAACAUUUCAAGGUUAAGUAAGCCUCCUUAGUACAAUUCUUAUUGAAAUUUUCAUUGUAACCCAGACAUGAUUUUUAAGGGAACAAUAUUAUAUAUUUAAUUAAACAUUGUUAUUUACAUUAUUGUGAUAUAUACCUCAAAUACACUUGAUCCAUAUGCUAUUUUCUCUCCCUCUUCAAUGCUUUCUGAGAAAGUAUGGCUAGUGAUUUCUGUUGCGUUCUUUUCUGUGCAGUUCCGCUUUGCUAGAAUUUUUUUUUUUUUUUAGAAAACAUUGACAUUUUGAUCUCUUUGUGAUUAUUUUAUUUAUUAAGUAAAUUUCUCUAAUAAUAAUUGAUGGUCAAGUUUUAGCUCACUGAGACAAAGUUGGGGUGGGGGUAUUGGUGCUAUACUGGACAUUUUUAAAUGUUUUGGAGCAUCAUAUACAACAUUCUUUUUUAAAAUGAGACAAUAUUGUAUGAUUUGAUAUAAUACAUGUAUUUUACAUUUGUAAUCAUAAUGUAAUGUAAUAUAUAACAUUGAAAAGGAAGUUGUAUAAUAUGAGCCUAUCAUUUAAUAUUCAUGAAUAUAAUUAUUUGUAUUGUAUUGUGUAUGAGCCUAUGCUAUAGCAUAUCAUUUAAUAUUGAAUAUAAUAAUUGUAUUAAACAACACAAUAUCUUGUUAUUUGUAUUGUAUUAUGUAUGUAUCAAAUUUUGAACAUUGUAUCAUACCACACAUUACAAUAUGAAAUAUAGAUCAUUAAUUAUAUCAUUUAGGCCACCCUUUUGUCCAUCUGAGAUCACUUGUCUAGAGGAUGACCUCUCUCGUUGGCUCAAUUCAGCUCAUGCUUCACACAGAGUGUGAGGGGUGUGCGGUAAACUUGAGCUAAGUCUGUAUGUCUGAUAUUUAAGGUCAUGGCAGAACUUUGAAAAUCUCGCUGAAAAAUAUUUGUGAUUCAUAAUUCUUUUCAAUACACUUCGCCAAAAGAAAGUAUAUUUGGUCUGUCUGCAGUUACCUUGAAAGUUUUUAGGUCAAGGGUCAAGGUCGUUAAUUACAUUAAUUUGAGAUGGUUACCAUCGCAAUGAUAUUUAGUAAAAUGAUGCCUUAUCCCAGUGAGCUUAGUAAUUACACAUUUUAAAGUUCUCUUUGAGAUACUUACAUUGUCUUGGGGUACCCUUGAUUCUUCGCUUUAAUUUGGGUAUAGCAGACAGGUCCAGCUUGCUUUCAUUAUUGAGAACAAUAUCUUUGGAAAAACUUUUAGCUGUAAUUUGAGAUUUAAUGUUAUGUGUUGAAUUUAUUCUUGAACAUAAAUGAGUUUGUUUUGGUCAAUAAAAUUGUAUAAAACG
Molecule: long non-coding RNA, 3987 nt
Organism: Magallana angulata
Lineage: Eukaryota; Metazoa; Mollusca; Bivalvia; Ostreida; Ostreidae
Exons: 6
Source: RefSeq, a predicted model, not a curated record